RNAcentral lists this ribosomal RNA (206 nucleotides) under uncultured bacterium. Its description in RNAcentral is "partial 16S ribosomal RNA". It matches the Rfam family "Bacterial small subunit ribosomal RNA", at positions 469 to 674 of the family's 1533-position model. The record is from RNAcentral.
UUGACGUUACCGACAGAAUAAGCACCGGCUAACUCUGUGCCAGCAGCCGCGGUAAUACAGAGGGUGCAAGCGUUAAUCGGAAUUACUGGGCGUAAAGCGCGCGUAGGUGGUUCGUUAAGUUGGAUGUGAAAUCCCCGGGCUCAACCUGGGAACUGCAUUCAAAACUGUCGAGCUAGAGUAUGGUAGAGGGUGGUGGAAUUUCCUGU